RNAcentral lists this long non-coding RNA (680 nucleotides) under Papio anubis (olive baboon). RNAcentral's name for it is "lncRNA (ENSPANG00000039135.1)". Lineage: Eukaryota; Metazoa; Chordata; Mammalia; Primates; Cercopithecidae. The record is from RNAcentral.
AGUGCUGCCAGUACAUGAAUGGCUAAAAAAGGACACUAAACUCAUGUAUUUCUUCUUCCCCCAACUACAAGCUCGUAUUGCCCAAGGUUCACAGAGACUCCUUUAUUAAAAAGCAGCAUCUGAAGACAAAUAGAAGCUCCUAUUUCACGUAUUGCUUUCUACUGAAAAGAUUUUGGAAAUGUCAGAGGGAAUUUCCUAUUUCUACAAUGACUGUCAUUCAAUUUCAUGGGGAAGAACACAGAGAUGGAGAGGAUAGAAAUGCCAGCUGUGCUGUCAUAAGGAUAUUCAGGACUGACUAGGAAGAGGUUCACAAGUCAAGGAACUGAUAUCUCUACCCAACAGCCAAAGGGGAACAAGUUCUGCCAACAGCAGUCUGAGUGAGACGGGAAGCAGAGUUGUAGCAUUUGUUGAGCCCCAGUUGAGCAUUCAUUUGACUGAAGUCCUGGCCAACAGCUUUACUGCAAUCUCAUGAGAAAUCUUGAGCCAGAACCACCCAGCUAAGCUGCUCUCAGAAAUCUGGUGGCAAAUAUUUUACUGAUUUAUCUGAGAAAUUCCAUACCUAUAGAUAAUUGGUCUAUUUGUAUUCUAUACAAAACCUAAAAUAUUCCCUACUGGCAAGGAAAUUUUUGAGACUUUCAAUGUGGUCUUUAGCAUAGAUUAGAAACGAUGUCAUAUGAAAU